AUUCCAGCUCCAGUAGCGUAUAUUAAAGUUGUUGCAGUUAAAAAGCUCGUAGUUGGAUUUCUGGUUUCACAGAACUGGCCUACUUCCUCAAGGUCGUGUGCGCCGUGUUUUGUGUACCAUCCUUCUAGAAAUUGUGUUCCAUCCCUUCACUGGGAUAGAUCCGAGAUCUAGAUCUUUUACUUUGAAGAAAUUAGAGUGUUCAAAGCAGGCUCGCGCUGUGAAUACAUUAGCAUGGAAUAAUAAUUUAGGACUUGGUAUCCUAUUUUGUUGGUUUGUACUCCAAGGUAAUGAUUAAUAGGGACAGUUGGGGGUAUUCGUAUUCAAUUGUCAGAGGUGAAAUUCUUGGAUUUAUUGAAGACGAACUUCUGCGAAAGCAUUUACCAAGGAUGUUUUCAUCA
RNAcentral lists this ribosomal RNA (398 nucleotides) under Cercozoa sp. RNAcentral's name for it is "partial small subunit ribosomal RNA". It matches the Rfam family "Eukaryotic small subunit ribosomal RNA", at positions 582 to 975 of the family's 1831-position model. The record is from RNAcentral. Lineage: Eukaryota; Cercozoa.